Molecule: long non-coding RNA, 668 nt
Filed under: Helianthus annuus (common sunflower)
Lineage: Eukaryota; Viridiplantae; Streptophyta; Magnoliopsida; Asterales; Asteraceae
Description: sRNA HanXRQr2_Chr03g0106101
Source: RNAcentral
UUUGAUAACAUAGAGAGAGAGAAAGAAGUAGCAGAUGACUAUUUAGGGAUUUUGUUUUUUUUCAUUAGUAGUGGGCCGGUUUAGUGUCUUCUUUAAGUGGUCCUGUGCUACAAAAUUUUAAAUUUAGCUGUGAGUUUUCAAAAGAAAUACAUAUGGGUUUCUAAAGAAUUAGCAGUUAGUGGUGUGACAAUUAAGAGAGUUUGAAAGUCAAACUUGAAUCAUUUUAACUUGAAAUCCAUACAUUCCACCUACGAAGUUUUUUUUUUUUUUAAUUUGGGCACUUUUGUGAUUUAAAUUUGAAAUCCACACAUUGACACAUUUGUUUUGAUUUUUGAUGUUGGGUUUUUUACAUCUUUUUCCCAGUCGAUGAUGAUAAGUUCAAUUUAUCUGAGACACUUACCGAGUUGUGAUUUUUGGGUGCGUUUGUUUUGUCGUAAAACGUAAACUUUUUAACGUAAAGCGUAAAACGUAAACUUUUUAACGUAAAGCAUAAAACGUAAACUUUUUAACGUAAAGCGUAAAAUGUAAAUAACGAUCAAACGUGGUCAACUCAAGACCGGAUAACAACUUAAACAUAGCGAGUUGUUAUUAUUAGGCUAGUUAGAUUAGUUUACACGGUUUUUUAGAUUUUAUUAUAGUUAUACGCGACCGAGCUCGACAAUAUUCGU